This 486-nucleotide ribosomal RNA is filed under the name Triticum aestivum (bread wheat). RNAcentral's name for it is "partial small subunit ribosomal RNA". Lineage: Eukaryota; Viridiplantae; Streptophyta; Magnoliopsida; Poales; Poaceae. The record is from RNAcentral.
AUGCAGUUUUUGAAUAUUUCAAGAAAUAACCUAUCUGGUAGUAUCCCCAAGGACAUUGGCAACCUAAAGUUAUUAGAGUCCCUUGACCUCUCUUGGAACAAAUUAUCAGGUCAUAUUCCUCCUAGUGUCUCAAACCUGACGUCCCUUACCGCUCUCAAUCUCUCCAACAACCUUCUAUCUGGAGAUAUACCUACAGGCAGUCAGCUCCAAACACUUGAGGACCCAUCGAUCUACGGCAAUAAUCUUGGACUUUGUGGCCCUCCAUUGAGCAUUCCAUGCACAAACAAUUCGAGUAGUACAGAAGCAGUUGAUGGCGACCAUGAACAUGAAACGGUGUGGCUGUACUACUCGGUGAUUGCUGGAACUGUCUUCGGUUUCUGGGUAUGGUUUGGAGCAUUGUUCUUCUGCAAGAUCUGGCGGUUUGCACUCUUCAAUCGCAUCGAUGCCAUGCAGCGGAUUGUUGUACACAAGAUGAAGCGUACCUGA